RNAcentral lists this small RNA (559 nucleotides) under Pongo abelii (Sumatran orangutan). RNAcentral's name for it is "retained intron". Lineage: Eukaryota; Metazoa; Chordata; Mammalia; Primates; Hominidae. The record is from RNAcentral.
UAGAGAAACGUAUCACUGACCCAGUAAUUGUGAAGUACUGUCUCCUCCAAGGGUAGCUUUGAUCUCCUGCCCUAAGGGCCGUUGGGAGUGGGCAGAUGGACCCCUGAGCCCCUAAGAUGGGCCCCAGGAAUGAGGGUUGGGGGCAGGGCAGGGGGACACUGUCUCAGCCCUAGGGGAGGUGGGCGGGGAGCUGGGGACAGAUGGCCUUGGUUUGGGAGCACAGCCUCUGAUCAGCAUCUCUGUGUUUGGACAGAACCUGCUGGGACUACAGAACAUCCCCAGGCAGUUCUUCCUGCAGGUGUACCACACCUUCCUCAGGAUCGCAGAGACCAGGGUAGGUGAUGCCGUCCUGGGGCUGGUCUGCAUGCUGCUGCUGCUGGUGCUGAAGCUGAUGCGGGACCACAUGCCUCCCGUCCACCCCGAGAUGCCCCCCGGUGUGCGGCUCAGCCGUGGGCUGGUCUGGGCUGCCACGACAGCUCGCAAUGCCCUGGUGGUCUCCUUCGCGGCCCUGGUUGCGUACUCCUUCGAGGUGACUGGAUACCAGCCCUUCAUCCUAACA